Molecule: long non-coding RNA, 250 nt
Filed under: Vombatus ursinus (common wombat)
Lineage: Eukaryota; Metazoa; Chordata; Mammalia; Diprotodontia; Vombatidae
Description: lncRNA (ENSVURG00010022401.1)
Source: RNAcentral
GAGCCUCUGGGUGGAAUGAAUAAAAAAGUAAAUUUAGAGUAGUGGCCUGUGAAAGAUCCGUUGGCAUCUACGAGUUGGUACCAUGGGAGUGGAGCAAAGGAGAGUGGGCAUUAAUAGGUGAAAAGAAGAUAGAGUUGUUGGAAUGUCGUUGAAGUGGCUAUAAGAACUAGGAAAUACCAACCAGAAAUUCUGGAAUUAUACUUGGAACAUUACAAAUAAAUAUUGGAUGUCCUCUGGGAACUGGAGUGAG